AUGCCGGCCACCGCAGGUAGGGUUCGCAUGCCGGCAAACAAUCGGGUACAUAGUAGUUCUGCCCUUCAAACUCAUGGUAUAUGGCAGAGUACAAUUGGGUAUGAUCCGUAUGCACCUAAGCCGACUUUGUCAAACUCAAACACAAAACCAGAUACCGAUCAGAAUCCAUAUGCUAACUACCAAGGCCUUCUCCAACUCGCUCGUUUAACCGCGCCGAGUGCUGACGUGGUUCGUGGAGCGUGCAAGAGGUGCGGCCGGGUUGGCCACCUCACCUAUCAAUGUAGGAACUUUCUGAGUGUUCAGGACAACGAGAAGGAGGAUGACCCUGAAGCUACUCAGGCUGAUGUUGCUUCUCAGUUGGGUAAGUUGAAGGGGAAGCUCGGUAAGGCGAAGGAAAAAGAUGUUGUGAAGACUGAUAGUGAGGAUGAGGAGGACGACAGUGAGAGUUCAAAUUCCGACUAUGAUUCCGAUAUGAAGAGGCUCAUUGAUCAAAGAUGUGGGAAAAAGAGUGUUCGAAAAGAUAAGCUGAAGAAGAAGAAGAAUAGGGGCUCAGAUGUUGAUGGGUCAGAUACAGACUCUGAGGAGAGGAAGAAGAAGAGAGGAAGGUCAAAGAAGAGGAGAAGCAGAAAGAGGAAACAUGAUGAUUCAGACGAUUCCGAGAAAGAUAGGAAGAAAAGAAGGAAGAGUAAAGGGAGAAAGAGGGAUGAGUCCUCGGAUGAGGAUGGCAAACGACGUCAACGACAUAGGAAGAAGAAGAAGAAGAAAGAAAAGUAACGUAAACUACCUAACCUGUACUCGUCGUUCUCUCUCUCUCCAUUUCUAUCCCCAAAAACUCUAGACACCAGCUUCAAAUCUUGUCAGCUUUCCCGUCAGAUCACCCCAGAGGCCUCCCUCUCAUUUCCCAAACGGGUCAUACAAACCAAGGAUGGUGUGUUCUGGGUAUUUGGAUAUGGUUCACUUGUGUGGAACCCUGGUUUCGAGUACGACGAGAAAGUGAUAGGUUUCAUCAAGGACUACAAGCGUGUCUUUGAUCUGGCUUGCAUUGAUCAUCGGGGUACACCUGAGCACCCUGCAAGAACUUGCACGUUGGAACACCAAGAAGGGGCUAUUUGCUGGGGUGCUGCUUAUUCUGUGCUAGGCGGCCCUGAAAAGGAAAGACUGGCUAUGGAGUACUUGGAAAAGAGAGAAUGUGAAUAUGAUGCAAAGACUCUUGUGAACUUUUACAAGGAAGGGGACUUCUCUGAUGAGCCUUCUUUGACAGGAGUCAUUGUUUUCACAUCUACACCAGACAAAGAAUCAAACAAGUAUUACUUGGGUCCUGCUCCACUGGAGGAUAUGGUAAGACAACUUGCGACUGCUUCUGGGCCAUGUGGAAACAACAGAGAGUACUUAUUUCUGCUGGAAAAGGCUAAACUGGAGAACCCCUAUUUGCAACAUAUUGGACAUCUAGAGGAUUAUAUUAUAGAGCUUGCAAAUGAGGUGAGGAAUGUACUUGGAAUUGUUGGGAAGAAUUCCAAAGGAUAAGAAGUCCCACAUUCCAGCCAUUCAAGUGCGUCCCCUUCCUGAAGCCAUUGCCAUGGACUCGUAA
Fragaria vesca subsp. vesca is the source of this 1588-nucleotide RNA transcript. RefSeq lists it as uncharacterized. NCBI's taxonomy places the organism in Eukaryota, Viridiplantae, Streptophyta, Magnoliopsida, Rosales, Rosaceae. The record is from RefSeq and is a predicted model, not a curated record. The transcript has 3 exons.